This 845-nucleotide ribosomal RNA is filed under the name Duganella sp. sic0402. RNAcentral's name for it is "partial 23S ribosomal RNA". It matches the Rfam family "Bacterial large subunit ribosomal RNA", at positions 359 to 1209 of the family's 2925-position model. The record is from RNAcentral. Lineage: Bacteria; Pseudomonadati; Pseudomonadota; Betaproteobacteria; Burkholderiales; Oxalobacteraceae.
AGCGGGUGAUAGCCCCGUACACGAAAUCAGACCGGUGGUACUAAGCGUACGACAAGUAGGGCGGGACACGAGAAAUCCUGUCUGAAUAUGGGGGGACCAUCCUCCAAGGCUAAAUACUCGUAAUCGACCGAUAGUGAACCAGUACCGUGAGGGAAAGGCGAAAAGAACCCCGGGAGGGGAGUGAAAUAGAUCCUGAAACCGUGUGCAUACAAACAGUAGGAGCCUCGUAAGGGGUGACUGCGUACCUUUUGUAUAAUGGGUCAGCGACUUACAUUCAGUGGCAAGGUUAACCGAAUAGGGAAGCCGUAGAGAAAUCGAGUCCGAACAGGGCGAUAGUCGCUGGGUGUAGACCCGAAACCAAGUGAUCUACUCAUGGCCAGGAUGAAGGUGCGGUAACACGCACUGGAGGUCCGAACCCACUAAUGUUGAAAAAUUAGGGGAUGAGCUGUGGGUAGGGGUGAAAGGCUAAACAAACUUGGAAAUAGCUGGUUCUCUCCGAAAACUAUUUAGGUAGUGCCUCAAGUAUCACCACCGGGGGUAGAGCACUGUUAUGGCUAGGGGGUCAUCGCGACUUACCAAACCAUUGCAAACUCCGAAUACCGGUAAGUGCGAGCUUGGGAGACAGACGUCGGGUGCUAACGUCCGGCGUCAAGAGGGAAACAACCCAGACCGCCAGCUAAGGUCCCAAAGAUUGGCUAAGUGGAAAACGAAGUGGGAAGGCUAAAACAGUCAGGAUGUUGGCUUAGAAGCAGCCAUCAUUUAAAGAAAGCGUAAUAGCUCACUGAUCGAGUCGUCCUGCGCGGAAGAUGUAACGGGGCUAAGCCAGUCACCGAAGCUGCGGAUAU